Molecule: ribosomal RNA, 510 nt
Filed under: Blastenia hungarica
Lineage: Eukaryota; Fungi; Ascomycota; Lecanoromycetes; Teloschistales; Teloschistaceae
Description: LSU rRNA
Rfam family: Bacterial large subunit ribosomal RNA (bases 1-286)
Source: RNAcentral
GGUUGUAUGUCUAAAGGGAAACAGCCCAGAACAAGUGUUAAUAAGGUUCCAAAAUUAUUAUUAAGUGAAAUAAAGGUAGUUUGUGUCCUAAACGGCCAGGAAAUGGGCUUAGAAGCGGCCAUUUUUUAAAGACCUCGUAACAGAGCACUGGUUUCUCCUAAUUAUUAGGGUAAAUUAAGUAUAAGAAGUUAAAAUUUUUAAUUUAGUUUACAUGGAUAUAAGCACCGACGAUACAACGGAUCUAAAUAAUAUACCGAGACCUUGUCCAUAAUUAUAUAUAUAAUGUUUUAUAACCAGAGUAUAUUAAUUAAUUUUAUUUAUAUGCUAUAGAACCACACUAGGGCGGCGCAAACCCGGCUGCUAGUUGCAACAUAUAUACUAGAGUUAAUUUUUCCCUCUAGCAAGUUUUUUUAGCAAAAAGUUAAAAAAGAUCCGAUCCUGGCCUUGCUAAAAGUUAUAUGUUAUAUAUAGUUUUAUGGGGUAGCGGAACAUUGGGUAUACCACACCCUU